Molecule: ribosomal RNA, 702 nt
Filed under: uncultured eukaryote
Lineage: Eukaryota
Description: bacterial SSU rRNA
Rfam family: Eukaryotic small subunit ribosomal RNA
Source: RNAcentral
GAUUAGAUACCGUCGUAGUCCUUUCCUUAAACGUUGCAAACUUGGGAUCGGUCAGUUUCGAGAAAUCAAAGUCUUUGUGUUCCGGGGGGAGUACAUUCGCAAGGCUGAAACUUAAAGGAAUUGACGGAGAACCACCACCAGACGUGGAUUGUGUGGCUUAAUUCGACUCAACACGGGAAAUUUUACCAGCACAGGACACGGUCAGGAUUGCCAAGUUAAAGCCUUUGCUUGAUUCCGUGAAGGGUGGUGCAUGGCCGCUUCUGGUUGGUGAAUGUGAUUUUUCUGCUUAAUUGCGAUAACGAACGAGAUCUCUGCCAAUUACUAGUUACUUAUUGGGAUUAUGCGGAACACAUUGAAACGAGAGCCCAAAGCAGGUCUGUGAUGCUCCUAAAUGCGCUGGGCUGCACGCGCAAUACACUGACUCCGACAGCGAGCUCCUGGUCCGAAGGUACCGGGGAAACUUUGAGCCGGAGUCGUGCUGGGGAUUGAUGCUUGAAAUUAUUCUCCAUGAACGAGGAAUGUCUUGUAGGCGCGUUUCAUCAGAACGCACCGAAUACGUCCCUGGUUCUUGUACACACCGCCCGUCGUUGCCUGUAAUGGGUUGUGAGUAGGUCGUUCGUUGCCAAAAUUGGGCAAUACUCGCAACCUAGAAGAGGCAAAAGUCGUAACAAGGUUGCUGUAGGUGAACCUGCAGAAGGAUCA